AGAGUUUGAUCCUGGCUCAGAAUCAACGCUGGCGGCGUGCCUCAGACAUGCAAGUCGAACGAUUAAAGCUCUCUUCGGAGAGUGCAUAGAGUGGCGCACGGGUGAGUAACACGUAAGUAAUCUACCCUCGAGUGGGGAAUAACGUUCGGAAACGGACGCUAAUACCGCAUAAUGCAGCGGCACCGCAAGGUGACAGUUGUUAAAGAUUUAUCGCUUGAGGAGGAGCUUGCGGCAGAUUAGCUAGUUGGUAAGGUAAUGGCUUACCAAGGCUACGAUCUGUAACCGGUCUUAGAGGACGGUCGGUCACACUGACACUGAAUAACGGGUCAGACUCCUACGGGAGGCAGCAGUCGGGAAUUUUGGGCAAUGGGCGAAAGCCUGACCCAGCAACGCCGCGUGAAGGAUGAAGUAUUUCGGUAUGUAAACUUCGAAAGAAUAGGAAGAAUCAAUGACGGUACUAUUUAUAAGGUCCGGCUAACUACGUGCCAGCAGCCGCGGUAAUACGUAGGGACCAAGCGUUGUUCGGAUUUACUGGGCGUAAAGGGCGCGUAGGCGGCGCGGUAAGUCACUUGUGAAAUCUCUGAGCUUAACUCAGAACGGCCAAGUGAUACUGCAGUGCUAGAGUGUGGAAGGGGCAAUCGGAAUUCUUGGUGUAGCGGUGAAAUGCGUAGAUAUCAAGAGGAACACCUGAGGUGAAGACGGGUUGCUGGGCCAACACUGACGCUGAGGCGCGAAAGCCAGGGGAGCAAACGGGAUUAGAUACCCCGGUAGUCCUGGCCCUAAACGAUGAAUACUUGGUG
This 800-nucleotide ribosomal RNA is filed under the name uncultured bacterium. RNAcentral's name for it is "bacterial SSU rRNA". It matches the Rfam family "Bacterial small subunit ribosomal RNA", at positions 8 to 822 of the family's 1533-position model. The record is from RNAcentral.